GAUGAACGCUGGCGGCGUGCCUAAUACAUGCAAGUCGAGCGAACGGACGAGAAGCUUGCUUUUCUGAUGUUAGCGGCGGACGGGUGAGUAACACGUGGAUAACCUACCUAUAAGACUGGGAUAACUUCGGGAAACCGGAGCUAAUACCGGAUAAUAUUUUGAACCGCAUGGUUCAAAAGUGAAAGACGGUCUUGCUGUCACUUAUAGAUGGAUCCGCGCUGCAUUAGCUAGUUGGUAAGGUAACGGCUUACCAAGGCAACGAUGCAUAGCCGACCUGAGAGAGGGGUCGCCCACAUGGGAGUGGGACCGGGCACAAUACGCCUGAGGGGGGGACCAGAGGCGAAUGUGCGGCAAGGGGGGAGAGCAUUGCGGAGCAGGCGCGAGUGAGAUAUAGCGGCGUCGGGUUGGGAAAGACUGCUUUUGGGGUAAAAACAUAUUUUAAAAAAGUAGUAGAGAUCGUGACGGUACCUGAAGAAAAAGCCCCGGCUAACUACGUG
Molecule: ribosomal RNA, 497 nt
Filed under: uncultured bacterium
Lineage: Bacteria
Description: partial 16S ribosomal RNA
Rfam family: Bacterial small subunit ribosomal RNA
Source: RNAcentral